This 504-nucleotide ribosomal RNA is filed under the name uncultured bacterium. RNAcentral's name for it is "partial 16S ribosomal RNA". It matches the Rfam family "Bacterial small subunit ribosomal RNA", at positions 28 to 523 of the family's 1533-position model. The record is from RNAcentral.
GAUGAACGCUAGCUACAGGCUUAACACAUGCAAGUCGAGGGGCAGCAUAAAUCUAGCAAUAGAUUUGAUGGCGACCGGCGCACGGGUGAGUAACACGUAUCCAACCUACCUAUUACUCGGGUAUAGCCUUUCGAAGGAAAGAUUAAUCCCCGAUACGAUAUUGAGUUCGCAUGAAUUUGAUAUGAAAGAUUUAUUGGUAUUAGAUGGGGAUGCGUUCCAUUAGAUUGUUGGUGAGGUAACGGCUCACCAAGUCUUCGAUGGAUAGGGGUUCUGAGAGGAAGGUCCCCCACACUGGAACUGAGACACGGUCCAGACUCCUACGGGAGGCAGCAGUGGGGAAUAUUGGUCAAUGGGCGAGAGCCUGAACCAGCCAAGUAGCGUGAGGGAUGACUGCCCUAUGGGUUGUAAACCUCUUUUAUAAGGGAAUAAAACGCUCCACGAGUGGAGCUUUGCAUGUACCUUUUGAAUAAGGAUCGGCUAACUCCGUGCCAGCCGCCGCCGUAA